RNAcentral lists this ribosomal RNA (578 nucleotides) under uncultured bacterium. RNAcentral describes it as "bacterial SSU rRNA". It matches the Rfam family "Bacterial small subunit ribosomal RNA", at positions 102 to 674 of the family's 1533-position model. The record is from RNAcentral.
ACGGGUGAGUAAUACAUCGGAACGUAUCCUGGAGUGGGGGAUAGCCCGGCGAAAGCCGGAUUAAUACCGCAUACGCUCUGAGGAGGAAAGCGGGGGACCUUCGGGCCUCGCGCUCAAGGGGCGGCCGAUGGCGGAUUAGGUAGUUGGUGGGGUAAAGGCCUACCAAGCCGACGAUCCGUAGCUGGUCUGAGAGGACGACCAGCCACACUGGGACUGAGACACGGCCCAGACUCCUACGGGAGGCAGCAGUGGGGAAUUUUGGACAAUGGGGGCAACCCUGAUCCAGCAAUGCCGCGUGUGUGAAGAAGGCCUUCGGGUUGUAAAGCACUUUUGUCCGGAAAGAAAUCAUCGGGGCCAAUACCCCUGGUGGAUGACGGUACCGGAAGAAUAAGCACCGGCUAACUACGUGCCAGCAGCCGCGGUAAUACGUAGGGUGCGAGCGUUAAUCGGAAUUACUGGGCGUAAAGCGUGCGCAGGCGGUGCUGUAAGACCGAUGUGAAAUCCCCGGGCUUAACCUGGGAAACUGCAUUGGUGACUGCAGCGCUGGAGUAUGGCAGAGGGGGGGUGGAAUUCCACGU